Molecule: ribosomal RNA, 255 nt
Filed under: uncultured bacterium
Lineage: Bacteria
Description: partial 16S ribosomal RNA
Rfam family: Bacterial small subunit ribosomal RNA
Source: RNAcentral
UACGAAGGGGGCUAGCGUUGUUCGGAUUUACUGGGCGUAAAGCGCACGUAGGCGGAUCUUUAAGUCAGAGGUGAAAUCCCAAGGCUCAACCGUUGGAACUGCCUUUGAUACUGGGGAUCUUGAGUCCGGGAGAGGUGAGUGGAACUGCGAGUGUAGAGGUGAAAUUCGUAGAUAUUCGCAAGAACACCAGUGGCGAAGGCGGCUCACUGGCCCGAUACUGACGCUGAGGCACGAAAGCGUGGGGAGCAAACAGGG